Molecule: ribosomal RNA, 253 nt
Filed under: uncultured bacterium
Lineage: Bacteria
Description: partial 16S ribosomal RNA
Rfam family: Bacterial small subunit ribosomal RNA
Source: RNAcentral
UACGUAGGGUGCAAGCGUUAAUCGGAAUUACUGGGCGUAAAGCGUGCGCAGGCGGUUAUGUAAGGCAGAUGUGAAAUGCCCGGGCUUAACCUGGGAACUGCAUUUGUGACUGCAUGGCUAGAGUUUGGCAGAGGGGGGUAGAAUUCCACGUGUAGCAGUGAAAUGCGUAGAGAUGUGGAGGAACACCGAUGGCGAAGGCAGCCCCCUGGGCUAGUACUGACGCUCAUGCACAAAAGCGUGGGGAGCAAACAGG